GACGAACGCUGGCGGCGUGCUUAACACAUGCAAGUCGAACGGGGCUUGCCCUUUGGGGGUGGGUUUAGUGGCGAACGGGUGAGUAACACGUGGGUAAUCUGCCCUCAGCUCUGGGAUAACUCCGGGAAACCGGGGCUAAUACUGGAUAUGACUACUGGUGACAUCGCCUGGUGGUGGAAAGAUUUUUUGGCUGAGGAUGGGCCCGCGGCCUAUCAGCUUGGUUGGUGGGGUAAUGGCCUACCAAGGCUUCGACGGGUAGCCGGCUGAGAGGGCGACCGGCCACACUGGGACUGAGACACGGCCCAGACUCCUACGGGAGGCA
Molecule: ribosomal RNA, 322 nt
Filed under: uncultured bacterium
Lineage: Bacteria
Description: bacterial SSU rRNA
Rfam family: Bacterial small subunit ribosomal RNA
Source: RNAcentral